This 283-nucleotide long non-coding RNA is filed under the name Sorghum bicolor (sorghum). RNAcentral describes it as "long non-coding RNA (SBIC_LNC003209)". The record is from RNAcentral. Lineage: Eukaryota; Viridiplantae; Streptophyta; Magnoliopsida; Poales; Poaceae.
GAUGAAUAGGCGCCUCUUAUUGGAAUUUUUCUCCAAUUAAAGACGCAAAGAAAUCAUGCCCUUUGGAAGCAGGUUUCUCCACCUUAACUUGCAAAAAGACGGCAAAAUUAUGAGAAAAAUAUCUCAGACAUACUAUAAAUAUAUGUUUAAUGUAAUUACGAAGAAAAAUUUCUCUAGAUGAGUAGAAAAAUUCAACCCUCAUACUACAACUACUAUUAGUAUCAAGAACUAAACUCGGGUAAUUGUUAAUACUUUUAGCUACUACAAAAAAUAGAAAAUACAC